AUGGAUGCUGAUAUGAUAUGAUGUCAUAGGCAAGCGCAGCAAUGGAGGUGGGAGGUGUUAUGGGUCAUUUACUUUGCAGAUAAUUCUCAAAUCCCACAGUUUCACCAUCCACCUCCCCAGCAAGUAGAAACCCUUAAUGACUCUGUUUCCCUCUUUUCCUCUGCCUCAUCACACCAUGUUAUUUAGAGGAAGGAGCAGUGGAGAAACCAAUGGGAGACAUAAGAAAAUGGCAGAUACCUGAUAAACCCAGCUGGAGCUGGGAAUGGAGGGAAAUAACUACCAUGCUGUGCUACAUCAUAUCUUGGGUGCUGGAAUCACUUAUCCAUAUUGCUGUGCUAAUAAGGCAAGGCAUGUCCCUCAGGGCAGGACUCUGCCUCCUGGGAGUGCUCACCUGACCCGUUCAUCUGGCUUCCAAGUUAGAAGACCAAGAAUGAGCAAGACUGAGACCAGGUUCCCAUGUGAAUCUUAGCGUGCUCUUGUUAGGCCUGCCUGAGCAACAAACUUGGGCUGUAGACAUUCCUUCUUAGAAGGUUGUAUGUCCCAAAUCCUACAGCAAGCACAUGUAAGAUCAGACAUAAUGGGUUUCUAAGUACACGCAGGAGGGCUGAUUUGAAAGGUGACAUGGGAGCUAUCCACAUUAACCUGAGUCCAUCAGUCGUUAGACUGUGUCUCAGGGUUCUUGGUGACAUUGUACCUUCCAGGCCUCUCUAAAUAGAAUCCUGUGAUCCAAGGAAUGCAAUCCUGGUAAACCCCUAAAGGGUAGAAAGAAGUAUGAAAUUCCUAUAACCUUCCCAUGGGAAAUGAGAGGCCUCGGAACUCCUCAAGCCUUUAGUUGCACUUCCCCCUGCUUACAAAGAGAACAUAAUUUGCUCUUGACCCAGGGAGGAGGUUGAACUAGAUUGUACAUGUGUUCUAGAACCGGGGAGCUGCAGGGCAGCAACUGAGUGCAGACCUGUCUGGCUAAAAUAGAGUCACAGACACAAUCACAUAUCCUAUGAAGUGAGCAUUAUCCUGCUCACAGUCAAGAAAAACUAUGUACAUCCAGGUAUAGUUGCCCCAAAGAUCCUGACUGGCCACUCAGCCAAUAUUUGAUCUUGGUCAUUCUUGCUUGCAAUAUGUGUUAUUCACUACUGUUCUCAUGAUCUGACCAACUGUUAUGUUUACAUAACAUGCAUGUGCUCAUGCACUUUCUUCCAGAGCCGAUGUAUGUAUCCCUGUACAAGCGUAGCACUCCUAUUACAUUGCCCAUUGCUCAGCACGUCAUAAUGGUUACAUUUUAAAAGAUAGGCUAACGGCGGUAUUUUUUAGAAAGGUGUUUUAAAGGUGCCUAAACAUCACUUUGAAAAUUAUGGGAAAAAAUCCAGUUACCCCAGUGAUGAAGACUCAGCAACUUUCUCACUUGGUCUUUACAUGGAGGAAACACAAGUUUGGCUUUAUGUCUAUAAAAGCAAUGUUAAAAGUAUUUUAAGCAUAAAAACAAGAGUCGGCUAGUUUACAGACCUACCUACGAGGGCAUGGAAAUGACCAUGGCCUGGAUUUCAGGGACUAAUGGAAACUAGGCCUAGAAUACUUCAGAUGUUUUGUAAGAAAGAAUCUCAAUAAAGUACACAUUUGAAAUAGAUGUUGCUGAUAAGUGGUCCAUCAUUUUCGUGAAAAACCCAGGGACUGUGGAGAGAGCUGGUAAGGCGAUCUCAGUCUUUCUGGUGAGAGUUGUUAGUUAGCAUGUGCUGCCCAUGAAAAGCCAUCUCUGUGCUUUCGGAAGACAUCUAACACACACAUGUCUAGACUGAUUAUGUGAUAGAACACACCUUAUUCUAUCCUCUGUUGCCAUAACAGAAUACCUGAGGUGAGGUAGAUUUAUAAAGGAAACAGGUUUGUCUAUAGUACUGAAAGUUCAAAACUGGUCAGUCGUAUCUGGCAAGGCACUUGUGCUACUUCAACUUGAGGCAGAAGAAGACAGCAGAGACCAAGCAUGUGGGCAGGCUUGCCUUAGAACGAACUAGAACCACCAUCUAUGAGGAGUCUGCCCCUGUCACCUAGACAUCUCCUCCAACUGCCACACUGAGGAAUCAAGGAUCCAACAUGUGCACGUUAGGGGAGGGGGAGAGGGAGGGAUGGUGCACUCAACUUGCAGCAGAACCAUACCAUUUAAGCCUGAUUGGGUGGUCACCAAAGAAGUCAGAUUCCAAGCAAUAGAACAGCCCUGGAGGCCUGUUCAUGAGAGGAUGGUUCGGGACUGCACUUGAUCUUACCCAAAAGAAAAUGCUUGUGUUUGUACUUGACC
This 2284-nucleotide long non-coding RNA is filed under the name Mus musculus (house mouse). RNAcentral describes it as "long non-coding RNA chr14:65763205-65765489". Lineage: Eukaryota; Metazoa; Chordata; Mammalia; Rodentia; Muridae. The record is from RNAcentral.